UGCCAUCCUAUGGAGAGAGCAUGUGUGAGUUAGCCUUCCAACUCCAGGCUGACCACUCACUGAGCUCGAGGCAGAGGCUGCUCAGAAAUGUGAUUCCAGCCUCUCAGCAGGGAGCAGAGCACAGGCAGACAUGGGUCUGCUCCCGGACUCGGGUGACACUCUGGAUAACCCUGACCCACUCCUCCACUGUGUCCGGGUGUCUCUGAACCACCCAAAUGAGUGACGCUUGGCUUCUGUGCUGCCUGAAGAAACACACACCUCUGACCCUACCACAGUGUGUGCUGACUUCAGGGAACAGACGACUUCGGGUAACGUGUCUCCCAGGAUCCACACCCUGGAGAAGAACCAGCCAUGCAGCUCCUGGGGUGGCCCAGCUGCCUUCCUCCCACCUUGAACCCACAGCCCGAGGACGACAUGAGGCUGGGACCUGGCACAGGAGGAUGGCAGUGAGAGCAAGGCUGGGGAGGCCAGAGCCAGGACCGAGGCCUGUGCUGCUGAACAAAAUCAAGUGACAGGUGCGAGCACCAGACAAGGCACAGAAGGUGCUGGGCAGGGACUUGUGUGCAUCCACACAACUGUCAACGCGAGUGAGAAAAGCUUGGCCUCCCAUGGCCCAGUCUCUGCUGGCCUCCUUAGGAGACUGGCUCAUGUCACUCACAUGCUGCCAAUAGUUUAUUUUCAACAAUUAUUCCAAGAUGUAAAAAGAGAACUUUGCCAAUGGACAGGGCUAUAAGGAGAGGCUGAGAACAAUGAAGAACAGGCCUGGGUGACUGGAGGCUUCGAGUGAAUUGCCCUCAACCCAGUAAGGAAAGCCCUGGAGAUGACAGAACGCUCAGAAUUCCAGGAAGAAGAAACGACCAGGAGCAUCAUCAAAUCCCACCACUUGGCACUGAGCAGUCUGUCCUGCCUCCCUGCGUGGGGCGAGGGUGAAGAGGCAGCGGGCGCCAGCAGCACGGCCUGACUGCACCAUGGCCGCCACCGCUCACCUGGUGUGGUUGUCCUUCUCUGGGACCCCGGAGAUCUUUUUCUCCGGCUCAUCCAGCCCCUCUGAGGUCUCCAGUUCCGCUGACAUGGCUGCUGCUCUCACGCCUCUGGUCCUGCGGAGACACAGGAGCAGGGGAUGUGGCGCCCGUGGCAGUCACUCCCCAGGCGCCUGCCAGUUCUGCUCGCCCCUGAGCAACACCACCAGGAGGCGCCACAGGCCUCAGGGACGUUUUCAUAAAAAUAAAGCUCUGCC
Long non-coding RNA from Cervus elaphus (red deer), 1237 nucleotides. RefSeq lists it as uncharacterized. NCBI's taxonomy places the organism in Eukaryota, Metazoa, Chordata, Mammalia, Artiodactyla, Cervidae. The transcript has 2 exons. The record is from RefSeq and is a predicted model, not a curated record.